Molecule: ribosomal RNA, 1349 nt
Filed under: metagenome
Description: bacterial LSU rRNA
Rfam family: Bacterial large subunit ribosomal RNA
Source: RNAcentral
GAUCCUAUGCUGCCGAGAAAAGCCUCUAGUGAGUGUUGUGGCGGCCCGUACCCUAAACCGACUCAGGUGGUCAGGUAGAGAAUACCAAGGCGAUCGGGUGAACUGUGGUUAAGGAACUCGGCAAAUUGCCCCCGUAACUUCGGGAGAAGGGGGACCUCUGCUGGUGAUGGGCUUUACAUUCUGAGCUGGUGGGGGUCGCAGUGGCCAGGGGGAAGCGACUGUUUACUAAAAACACAGGUCCGUGCGAAGUCGUAAGACGAUGUAUACGGACUGACGCCUGCCCGGUGCCGGAACGUUAAGGGGACCGCUUAGCCAGCUUCGGUUGGCGAAGGUGAGAACUUAAGCGCCGGUAAACGGCGGUGGUAACUAUAACCAUCCUAAGGUAGCGAAAUUCCUUGUCGGGUAAGUUCCGACCUGCACGAAUGGCGUAACGACUUCCCCGCUGUCUCAACCACAGACCCGGCGAAAUUGCACUACGAGUAAAGAUGCUCGUUUCGCGCAGCAGGACGGAAAGACCCCGGGACCUUCACUACAGCUUGACAUUGGCGUUUGGAACGUCUUGUGUAGGAUAGGUGAGAGACUAGGAAGCUGUCACGCUAGUGAUGGUGGAGUCAUUGGUGAAAUACCACUCUGGUCGUUUUGAACGUCUAACUCUGGUCCGUGAUCCGGAUCGGGGACAGUGUCUGGUGGGUAGCUUAACUGGGGCGGUUGCCUCCUAAAGAGUAACGGAGGCGCCCAAAGGUUCCCUCAGCCUGGUUGGCAAUCAGGUGUUGAGUGUAAGUGCACAAGGGAGCUUGACUGUGAGACUGACAGGUCGAGCAGGAGCGAAAGCUGGGACUAGUGAUCCGGCAUCGGCGUGUGGAAGCGGUGUCGCUCAACGGCUAAAAGGUACCCCGGGGAUAACAGGCUGAUCUUCCCCAAGAGUCCAUAUCGACGGGAUGGUUUGGCACCUCGAUGUCGGCUCGUCGCAUCCUGGGGCUGGAGUAAGUCCCAAGGGUUGGGCUGUUCGCCCAUUAAAGCGGUACGCGAGCUGGGUUUAGAACGUCGCGAGACAGUUCGGUCCCUAUCCGCUGCGCGCGCAGGAGACUUGAAGGGGGCUGUCCCUAGUACGAGAGGACCGGGACGGACGAACCUCUGGUGUGCCAGUUGUACCGCCAGGUGCACGGCUGGUUGGCUACGUUCGGAAGGGAUAACCGCUGAAAGCAUCUAAGCGGGAAGCUCGCCUUGAGAUGAGGUCUCCCACCCCGUGAGGGGGUAAGGCUCCCGGUAGAUCACCGGGUUGAUAGGCCGGAGGUGGAAGCACGGUAACGUGUGGAGCUGACCGGUACUAAUAGGCCGAGGACUUGAUC